This 255-nucleotide ribosomal RNA is filed under the name Ectopseudomonas alcaliphila. Its description in RNAcentral is "Pseudomonas alcaliphila partial 16S ribosomal RNA". It matches the Rfam family "Bacterial small subunit ribosomal RNA", at positions 82 to 340 of the family's 1533-position model. The record is from RNAcentral. Lineage: Bacteria; Pseudomonadati; Pseudomonadota; Gammaproteobacteria; Pseudomonadales; Pseudomonadaceae.
GCUCCCUGAUUUAGCGGCGGACGGGUGAGUAAUGCCUAGGAAUCUGCCUGGUAGUGGGGGAUAACGUUCCGAAAGGAACGCUAAUACCGCAUACGUCCUACGGGAGAAAGCAGGGGACCUUCGGGCCUUGCGCUAUCAGAUGAGCCUAGGUCGGAUUAGCUAGUUGGUGAGGUAAUGGCUCACCAAGGCGACGAUCCGUAACUGGUCUGAGAGGAUGAUCAGUCACACUGGAACUGAGACACGGUCCAGACUCCU